RNAcentral lists this ribosomal RNA (432 nucleotides) under uncultured bacterium. Its description in RNAcentral is "partial 16S ribosomal RNA". It matches the Rfam family "Bacterial small subunit ribosomal RNA", at positions 29 to 506 of the family's 1533-position model. The record is from RNAcentral.
AACGAACGCUGGCGGCAUGCCUAACACAUGCAAGUCGAACGAGACCUUCGGGUCUAGUGGCGCACGGGUGCGUAACGCGUGGGAACCUGCCCUUAGGUUCGGAAUAACUCCCCGAAAGGGGUGCUAAUACCGGAUAAUGUCUUCGGACCAAAGAUUUAUCGCCUUUGGAUGGGCCCGCGUUGGAUUAGCUAGUUGGUAGGGUAAAAGCCUACCAAGGCGACAAUCCAUAGCUGGUCUGAGAGGAUGAUCAGCCACACUGGGACUGAGACACGGCCCAGACUCCUACGGGAGGCAGCAGUGGGGAAUAUUGGACAAUGGGCGAAAGCCUGAUCCAGCAAUGCCGCGUGAGUGAUGAAGGCCUUAGGGUUGUAAAGCUCUUUUACCCGGGAUGAUAAUGACAGUACCGGGAGAAUAAGCUCCGGCUAACUCCGU